Molecule: ribosomal RNA, 513 nt
Filed under: uncultured Hanseniaspora
Lineage: Eukaryota; Fungi; Ascomycota; Saccharomycetes; Saccharomycodales; Saccharomycodaceae
Description: eukaryotic LSU rRNA
Rfam family: Eukaryotic large subunit ribosomal RNA
Source: RNAcentral
AAACCAACUGGGAUUACCUUAGUAACGGCGAGUGAAGCGGUAAAAGCUCAAAUUUGAAAUCUGGUACUUUCAGUGCCCGAGUUGUAAUUUGUAGAAUUUGUCUUUGAUUAGGUCCUUGUCUAUGUUCCUUGGAACAGGACGUCAUAGAGGGUGAGAAUCCCGUUUGGCGAGGAUACCUUUUUCUGUAAGACUUUUUCGAAGAGUCGAGUUGUUUGGGAAUGCAGCUCAAAGUGGGUGGUAAAUUCCAUCUAAAGCUAAAUAUUGGCGAGAGACCGAUAGCGAACAAGUACAGUGAUGGGAAGAUGAAAAGAACUUUGAAAAGAGAGUGAAAAAGUACGUGAAAUUGUUGAAAGGGAAGGGCAUUUGAUCAGACAUGAUGUUUUUGCAUGCACUCGCCUCUCGUGGGCUUGGGCCUCUCAAAAAUUUCACUGGGCCAACAUCAAUUCUGGCAGUAGGAUAAAUCAUUAAGAAUGUAGCUACCUCGGUAGUGUUAUAGCUUAUUGGAAUACUGCU